AUCUAAGUGUGUGUGUGUGUGUGUGUGUGUGUGUGUGUGUGUGUGUUUGCUGGUGUGGCUCUCUCAGUGUGUUGACCAGACCUCCUUUCAAAGCCUAAUUGGGUUUGGGACUGGGGUAAUUGCUUGUGACAGAACCUAGCUAUCGUGUUUUGUUGUUUUGUUGUUUCCUUUGACCUCUAAACCUCCUUUUAACCUACAUUUCUUAGGAAAGUAUUAGAUGAUUAUCAGUUGAUUUAUUUCUUGGCUCUAGGAUUGGUUUGAAAUGUAAUUGGUUAAGUAAUUAAUGAGAUAAAAAUGACUGAGACAAAAAUACAUAUGCUGUUAUUGCAGAAUCCUUAAUACCAAAUUGAGUACUUGUUAGAUCUCUAGCAGUGUUAAUGAUUGACUCUUUAUUUUAACAAGUAAAUCUGGACAGUUCUUGUCCUUUGAUUCUGUGUGUCUGUCUCAUGAUAUUAUGUAUUUGACAAUAUUUGUUACCAGGGAUUCACAGGCAUGGUUCAAUGACAAACACGAUACAAUUUUUAAUUAAUUUGUUGAUUUUUGUUUAUGACUGAUAAAGGGAUAGGUUGUGUGUGUAUGAAUGAGCGUAUGAAAGCAUGUGUACAUGUUUUUGUUCUUGAUGGAAGGCAAACAUUGUGCAAACUUGGAUGUUCCAGUGAUGUGCAUUUAUGUGUUAAAGUUGGAUCCGCAACUUCACAACAGACUAAUUUAUAUAUUUUAGACGCAGAACUGUGUUAUGAAUGGACUUGGUGUCAAAGUCCAGGUUUAUUUUAUUUUCCAUUUCAGUAAGCUGACAUCUAUGUUCACUGCCUUAAAUUUCAUCCACUCUGUGUCUAUGUGGCAUGUUUUAUGAAAAGAAGAAAAGAAAAAAAGAUUUUUAAGAUGUGGAAGACAUAUUGUACAGUAGACCAAUGUCAGUUUGUAUAAAGUACUAAGUGAAAAAAAUAUUUAUUACAUGCAUUGAAAGAAAUUGUUUAACUAUUGAAUGUUACAUGUUUAUGUAGAGACAUUUAGAUGUAAUAAAAUGCAUUGAGUUAA
Molecule: long non-coding RNA, 1038 nt
Organism: Cyprinus carpio carpio
Lineage: Eukaryota; Metazoa; Chordata; Actinopteri; Cypriniformes; Cyprinidae
Source: Ensembl